CCUGAGAGGAGAAGGAGGCCUAGGAAAGGCAUCGGGCACCGACGGAGCAAUCUUGUGAGUAACGUAGCGACUCUGACAUUCUGAGAGGAGGAGGAGGCCUAGGAGAGGCAUCCUGCAUCGGCGGAGCAACCUAAGGACAACGUAGCCUCAAGAUCAACAACUCCGCUGUUGCGCAUCAGUGCCGGUGAGUGACAAACUUAUAUUUAAUUUUAAGAUAACGGAUUUCUAGAGAUUUUAGAUGUAGAUUAUAGUUUGUAGAUUGUAGAUGGAUCCGUUAUCUUAAAAUGGAUGGACUAGAAUAAAUUAGAUCAUAACUUUUGACAUUUUUUAAAUAGAAAUUUGCA
Molecule: long non-coding RNA, 344 nt
Organism: Formica exsecta
Lineage: Eukaryota; Metazoa; Arthropoda; Insecta; Hymenoptera; Formicidae
Exons: 3
Source: RefSeq, a predicted model, not a curated record